ACGGAGGGUGCGAGCGUUGUCCGGAAUCAUUGGGCGUAAAGGGCGCGUAGGUGGCCCCUCAAGCGGGCGGUGAAAGUCCGGGGCUCAACCCCGGAUCUGCCGUGCCGACUGUCAAACUCGAGGGCUGUAGAGGCAGACGGAAUUCCGGGUGUAGCGGUGGAAUGCGUAGAGAUCCGGAGGAAGACCGGUGGCGAAGGCGGUCUGCUGGGCAGUUUCUGACACUGAUGCGCGACAGCGUGGGGAGCAAACAGGA
This 253-nucleotide ribosomal RNA is filed under the name uncultured prokaryote. RNAcentral's name for it is "partial 16S ribosomal RNA". It matches the Rfam family "Bacterial small subunit ribosomal RNA", at positions 525 to 777 of the family's 1533-position model. The record is from RNAcentral.